GUGAACUAGUGGCCAGUAGCGUGGGGAGUAUGAAGUAUGCUAGGUGUAUCGGGAUUUAUUGGGUUUAAAGGGUGCGUAGGCGGCGUUAUAAGUCAGUGGUGAAAUCCUAUCGCUUAACGAGAGACGUGCCAUUGAUACUGUAGGGCUUGAGGAUAGAUGCCGUUGGCGGAAUGUGUCAUGUAGCGGUGAAAUGCAUAGAUAUGACACAGAACACCGAUUGCGAAGGCAGCUGACGAAACUAUAACUGACGCUGAUGCACGAAAGCGUGGGGAUCAAACAGGAUUAGAUACCCGAGUAGUC
This 300-nucleotide ribosomal RNA is filed under the name uncultured Sulfurovum sp. RNAcentral's name for it is "bacterial SSU rRNA". It matches the Rfam family "Bacterial small subunit ribosomal RNA", at positions 496 to 795 of the family's 1533-position model. Lineage: Bacteria; Pseudomonadati; Campylobacterota; Epsilonproteobacteria; Campylobacterales; Sulfurovaceae. The record is from RNAcentral.